RNAcentral lists this unclassified non-coding RNA (212 nucleotides) under Hevea brasiliensis (rubber tree). Lineage: Eukaryota; Viridiplantae; Streptophyta; Magnoliopsida; Malpighiales; Euphorbiaceae. The record is from RNAcentral.
GCAAAUUUACCAGCACUAUCAUCAUCAUGUCUAUCUAUUGCCAUCACUCCUACUAUAAUCUCAACUAUCACUAUUUUGACCACCACAAUAAAAUCAAUCUUACUACUAUGAUAUGAUCAUUAGCCUUUUUAAAUUUAGAUGUUAGGACCUUCUGACAUAGAAUAUUUCAGCGCUCAAUUUUUUAUUUACUAAAAUUAUUUAGCUCUUAAAAU